RNAcentral lists this unclassified non-coding RNA (278 nucleotides) under fungal sp. RNAcentral describes it as "partial internal transcribed spacer region". The stretch from base 1 to 46 matches the Rfam family "Eukaryotic small subunit ribosomal RNA", at positions 1786 to 1831 of the family's 1831-position model. RNAcentral also lists the same sequence under 1 other name. The record is from RNAcentral. Lineage: Eukaryota; Fungi.
AAGUCGUAACAAGGUUUCCGUAGGUGAACCUGCGGAAGGAUCAUUACCAAAUCCAAAACUUUAUCAACACCUUAUGUGCACUGAGAAUGGUUCCGUUCCCUGCCAACCACUUGUGGUGCAGGGGAGUGUAACUCUUUUGUUCACUCCUCUGUUUAAAGUGGGCAGGUGGGGAAUGUAUUUUUUCAACACCUUUUCAACCAUAUACCCAUUAAAACAUGCUGAAAGCAACCAAAAAACGAAACAUGAGACAACUUUUAACGGUGGAUCUCUUGGCUCGU